This 879-nucleotide ribosomal RNA is filed under the name Klebsiella pneumoniae. RNAcentral's name for it is "bacterial SSU rRNA". It matches the Rfam family "Bacterial small subunit ribosomal RNA", at positions 31 to 901 of the family's 1533-position model. The record is from RNAcentral. Lineage: Bacteria; Pseudomonadati; Pseudomonadota; Gammaproteobacteria; Enterobacterales; Enterobacteriaceae.
GAACGCUGGCGGCAGGCCUAACACAUGCAAGUCGAGCGGUAGCACAGAGAGCUUGCUCUCGGGUGACGAGCGGCGGACGGGUGAGUAAUGUCUGGGAAACUGCCUGAUGGAGGGGGAUAACUACUGGAAACGGUAGCUAAUACCGCAUAAUGUCGCAAGACCAAAGUGGGGGACCUUCGGGCCUCAUGCCAUCAGAUGUGCCCAGAUGGGAUUAGCUAGUAGGUGGGGUAACGGCUCACCUAGGCGACGAUCCCUAGCUGGUCUGAGAGGAUGACCAGCCACACUGGAACUGAGACACGGUCCAGACUCCUACGGGAGGCAGCAGUGGGGAAUAUUGCACAAUGGGCGCAAGCCUGAUGCAGCCAUGCCGCGUGUGUGAAGAAGGCCUUCGGGUUGUAAAGCACUUUCAGCGGGGAGGAAGGCGAUGAGGUUAAUAACCUCGUCGAUUGACGUUACCCGCAGAAGAAGCACCGGCUAACUCCGUGCCAGCAGCCGCGGUAAUACGGAGGGUGCAAGCGUUAAUCGGAAUUACUGGGCGUAAAGCGCACGCAGGCGGUCUGUCAAGUCGGAUGUGAAAUCCCCGGGCUCAACCUGGGAACUGCAUUCGAAACUGGCAGGCUAGAGUCUUGUAGAGGGGGGUAGAAUUCCAGGUGUAGCGGUGAAAUGCGUAGAGAUCUGGAGGAAUACCGGUGGCGAAGGCGGCCCCCUGGACAAAGACUGACGCUCAGGUGCGAAAGCGUGGGGAGCAAACAGGAUUAGAUACCCUGGUAGUCCACGCCGUAAACGAUGUCGAUUUGGAGGUUGUGCCCUUGAGGCGUGGCUUCCGGAGCUAACGCGUUAAAUCGACCGCCUGGGGAGUACGGCCGCAAGGUUAAAACU